Molecule: ribosomal RNA, 493 nt
Filed under: uncultured bacterium
Lineage: Bacteria
Description: bacterial SSU rRNA
Rfam family: Bacterial small subunit ribosomal RNA
Source: RNAcentral
UAGUCCACGCCCUAAACGAUGAGGACUGGCUGUCGGCGCUAUAGACGCGUCGGUAGCGAAGCUAACGCGUUAAGUUCUCCGCCUGGGGAGUACGACCGCAAGGUUGAAACUCAAAGGAAUUGACGGGGGCCCGCACAAGCGGUGGAGCAUGUGGUUUAAUUCAAUGCAACGCGAAGAACCUUACCAUCCCUUGACAUCCUCAGAAUGAUCUGUAAUCGAUCAGUGCCUUCGGGAACUGAGUGACAGGUGCUGCACGGCUGUCGUCAGCUCGUGUCGUGAGAUGUUGGGUUAAGUCCCGCAACGAGCGCAACCCCUAUCUAUAGUUGCCAGCACGUAAUGGUGGGAACUCUAUAGAGACUGCCGGUGACAAACCGGAGGAAGGUAAGGAUGACGUCAAGUCAGCAUGCCCCUUAUGCUCUGGGCUACACACGUGCUACAAUGGCCGUGACAAAGAGUUGCUACUUUGUGAAACAAGCUAAUCUCAUAAACGCGG